CUCUGUCCCAUAAUAUAAGAACGUUUUUGACACUAGUGUAGUGUUAAAAACGUUCUUAUAUUUUGGGACAGAGG
This 74-nucleotide microRNA precursor is filed under the name Triticum aestivum (bread wheat). RNAcentral describes it as "miR1120c stem-loop (tae-MIR1120c)". Lineage: Eukaryota; Viridiplantae; Streptophyta; Magnoliopsida; Poales; Poaceae. The record is from miRBase by way of RNAcentral.